RNAcentral lists this ribosomal RNA (802 nucleotides) under uncultured Ascomycota. RNAcentral's name for it is "LSU rRNA". It matches the Rfam family "Eukaryotic large subunit ribosomal RNA", at positions 399 to 1222 of the family's 3401-position model. Lineage: Eukaryota; Fungi; Ascomycota. The record is from RNAcentral.
GUGAAAUUGUUGAAAGGGAAGCGCUUGCAACCAGACCUGCCUGCAGUUGCUCAUCCGUGGCUUUUGCCCGGUGCACUCUUCUGCUGUCAGGCCAGCAUCAGUUCGGGCGGUCGGAUAAAGGCUUCGGGAAUGUAGCUCCUCUCGGGGAGUGUUAUAGCCCGUUGCGAAAUGCGGCCAGCCUGGACUGAGGUCCGCGCUUCGGCUAGGAUGCUGGCGUAAUGGUUGUAAGCGGCCCGUCUUGAAACACGGACCAAGGAGUCUAACAUCUGUGCGAGUGUUUGGGUGUUAAACCCGUACGCGUAAUGAAAGUGAACGGAGGCGGGAACCCCUCGGGGUGCACCGUCGACCGAUCCUGAUGUCUUCGGAUGGAUUUGAGUAAGAGCAUAGCUGUUGGGACCCGAAAGAUGGUGAACUAUGCCUGAAUAGGGUGAAGCCAGAGGAAACUCUGGUGGAGGCUCGCAGCGGUUCUGACGUGCAAAUCGAUCGUCAAAUUUGGGCAUAGGGGCGAAAGACUAAUCGAACUAUCUAGUAGCUGGUUCCUGCCGAAGUUUCCCUCAGGAUAGCAGUAACGUUUUCAGUUUUAUGAGGUAAAGCGAAUGAUUAGAGGCCUGGGGGUUGAAACAACCUUCACCUAUUCUCAAACUUUAAAUAUGUAAGAAGUCCUUGUUGCUCAGUUGAACGUGGACAUUUGAAUGUAUCGUUACUAGUGGGCCAUUUUUGGUAAGCAGAACUGGCGAUGCGGGAUGAACCGAACGCGGAGUUAAGGUGCCGGAAUGCACGCUCAUCAGACACCACAAAAGGU